AGAAGAAGUUGUUUCCAAAGAAACUGCUUUCACCAGCUCGCUUGAAACAAGCUUCAAAGAAGUUUGGAGGGGAUGAAAAGCAGCCAAAGCAUCGUUUGAUUGCUAAUGAGAAUAGUGGGGGUUUUCCAAUUGCAAAGAGCAACGGAAUGAGCAAUACUCGUUGUGAAAGCAAGCGCGAAAUGAAAGCACCAAGUUUGGUUGCUAGACUCAUGGGUUUGGAAUCAAUGCCAGCAGGACCAGGUAGUAAGGCCAAAAAGGCUUCAGCUUCUGAAACUGGGAGCUAUGUGGCGGAGAAACUUGAUGCUCGGCCUGGCGGAUCUGAUAAAGAAGAUAUGGAUUGUGAGAAGGCUGAAAUAAAGCGUGAAUUGAGGCCCCAAAAGCUUCAGAAGAUAGGGGUGAGUGAGAGACGUCCAGUCAGCAGAUUUAGUGCUGAAGCAUUGCAGUUGAGGACUGUAUUGUCAAGGCCAAGGAAACAUCAGCCUAAAUUGACUUCUCCAGUAAAAAGUCCUAGAAACGUCUCUGGUAGAAAUGCAUCUAGGUUGAUUGGGGCUGCAACUAGGAUUUUGGAACCGGGUUUGCAAAAGAGUAGGGCGAAAUGUGCUCUUACUUAUCCUAAAUAUUUUUCUCCUUUGGAAGAUAAAGCAGAUUUAGCACUGCAUCAUUUGGAAGUCCCUAAUCCUUAUGUGGAUUCAAAGACUUCGGAAGUGAGAGCAUCUGUGCCUUCAUGUAAAAAUUGUGGUUAUAUGCUUCAUAGUAAGAAUGGUACACCAAAUGGGGAAGAACACCCAUCGUCUGUCUCGUCACCUGUCUCUAGUUACUCUCAACCUUCUUGUCAAGGUCCAGGAAGAAAUAUGCUAAGGUUGCCCAUUAUCAACAGCAGAGAUCAAUUAGAGAGAGUUUUUGAGGGUUCGUCUUCAGACGCCAAUGCUGAAAUAGAUGAUGUAUCAUACUGUGCAGAGCUCAUAUUGGGCAAGCGACCUAUUAGCAGAAGUCGAAUAGCGAUGCAUGGCGCCUGCCAAGGGAGCAAUGUGAAAAAGGAUGCAUCAUCUGUCACUCAUGUGCUUAACCAGAAGCAAAAUCAAACAUCUCAGAAUAGAGAGAGGGGAU
RNAcentral lists this unclassified non-coding RNA (1107 nucleotides) under Hevea brasiliensis (rubber tree). The record is from RNAcentral. Lineage: Eukaryota; Viridiplantae; Streptophyta; Magnoliopsida; Malpighiales; Euphorbiaceae.